This 67-nucleotide transfer RNA is filed under the name Equus asinus (donkey). It matches the Rfam family "tRNA". From Rfam's summary of the family: Transfer RNA (tRNA) molecules are approximately 80 nucleotides in length. Their secondary structure includes four short double-helical elements and three loops (D, anti-codon, and T loops). The record is from Rfam by way of RNAcentral. Lineage: Eukaryota; Metazoa; Chordata; Mammalia; Perissodactyla; Equidae. RNAcentral also lists the same sequence under 1 other name.
CACUAAGAAGCUAAACAGCAUUAACCUUUUAAGUUAAAGACUGAGAGUCUGAAUCUCUCCUUAGUGA